Molecule: ribosomal RNA, 441 nt
Filed under: uncultured bacterium
Lineage: Bacteria
Description: partial 16S ribosomal RNA
Rfam family: Bacterial small subunit ribosomal RNA
Source: RNAcentral
CCUACGGGUGGCAGCAGUGGGGAAUAUUGCACAAUGGGGGAAACCCUGAUGCAGCGACGCCGCGUGAGUGAAGAAGUAUUUCGGUAUGUAAAGCUCUAUCAGCAGGGAAGAAGCAAGACGGUACCUGACUAAGAAGCCCCGGCUAACUACGUGCCAGCAGCCGCGGUAAUACGGAGGGGGCAAGCGUUAUCCGGAUUUACUGGGUGUAAAGGGAGCGUAGACGGUAUGGCAAGUCUGAGGUGAAAGCCUAGGGCUUAACCCUGGAACUGCUUUGGAAACUGUUAGACUAGAGUACUGGAGAGGUAGGUGGAAUUCCUAGUGUAGCGGUGAAAUGCGUAGAUAUUAAGAGGAACACCAGUGGCGAAGGCGGCUUACUAGACAGUAACUGACGUUGAGGCUCGAAAGCGUGGGGAGCAAACAGGAUUAGAUACCCCUGUAGUC